AUUCAAACAUGAAUCCUCUUUCAAGAUGUCUUAAGGAAAAAUAAAACUCAAAUAAAGGACAUUCUUUUUGGCAUUCAAUCAAAAACCCAGUGUAACAUCAUCAGAAAAAUCAAAAAAACAAACCCGACAUGGUGUCAGGAUAGGAGGAUGGAUAUCGUGAGCAGUGCUCUCCUGAUUUUUACAGCCAUCCUUAGUUUCAUCAGCGGUGCCAGAAGCUGCACUAGAAAAAUUUACAUUGCCUGCAGGAAGCCAGCUCCUUGUGGAAAGUAAUUCAGAUCCAAAAAUGGCCAAAGUAAGCUGGGUGUUUCUUUAUUUUGUUAUAUUUGCCCUGUUCUCCAUAUUUGCCACAACAAGUGCCUGUUGCAAGAAGAAAAUACCAUGUAGUGGCAGAGCACCCUGUAGACGUGGUCCAUACAGAGAAUAGACGGAAAUAAUGAAUCCAGAAAAAAUCAAAAAUGGCAAAAAUUUAAACAAGAGCUAUUUCAAAUAAUAUAACGAUGGAUUCUGCAAAGUGCUUGUAACAUAUAUCAGUUAAAUAAACGUCUUGAAAUAAAACAGAAACAAAGCAGCAUGUGGAUGUAACAGACUGGUGCCACACUUGGAUCACUUUCUGAUUAUUGUGUAGUAGAUCAUUGUAUCAUGCGCACGUGGCGAACUCUGUUCUUAUUGACCCUGCUAGCGGUGUUACUGCAAUCAGUUGCAGCGUGUAAGAAGACGGUGACCUGCCGCGCUGGUAACGUUCCCUGCAGAAAGUAGAGUGGAAUGGAGAUAGAGCUGAUUCAAGAAGUAUUUGUGCUUUUGGUGACUCUCCUGCUCUCAUACCUGGAGUCUUGCCUGGCGUGCACGCGUCACCGCUACGUCAACUGCGACGAUACCAACCCCAUGUGCGCUAACUCCACUAAAUAGUAAUAUGCCUGAAGUCACGGUCUUUGUGCUAGUUUUCCUCCACAUCGCGCUGUCAGUCCUGGAGUCAUACGGCUGCAGACAGACUAGGAAGCACUGCUUCAACAGCACGUGCAAACCGUGCAACCAGUUUGGAGGUCCAAAAGCGAGGGCUGAUAAUACACAGAUGUAAAAAGCACUCAAAUGGCGCUAAAGAAUUUUCUAAUAUGUCUGCUGCUCUUCUUCUUGUGGACCCUCGCAGCUGCCUGCAAACGCAAGAAUAACUGCCCCAAGUAUUGCUUACCUUGUACCUAUAGAGGGCCCAUUUUUGAGGUCAUCUAUCCGAAACAGAAAAACAAAACAAUACUGAUUGGAUCUUACGAAUGAAUAUAAUAAAAUAUAAAAUGUGGAACGUUAAUUAAUAAUAAAGAUUUAAUACAAAA
Long non-coding RNA from Leptidea sinapis, 1325 nucleotides. RefSeq lists it as uncharacterized. The record is from RefSeq and is a predicted model, not a curated record. NCBI's taxonomy places the organism in Eukaryota, Metazoa, Arthropoda, Insecta, Lepidoptera, Pieridae. The transcript is spliced from 9 exons.